This 254-nucleotide ribosomal RNA is filed under the name uncultured bacterium. Its description in RNAcentral is "partial 16S ribosomal RNA". It matches the Rfam family "Bacterial small subunit ribosomal RNA", at positions 524 to 776 of the family's 1533-position model. The record is from RNAcentral.
UACGGGGGGAGCAAGCGUUGUUCGGAUUUACUGGGCGUAAAGGGCGCGUAGGCGGUCAGCACAAGUCAGUUGUGAAAUCUCCGGGCUUAACCCGGAAAGGUCAACUGAUACUGUGCGACUAGAGUGCGGAAGGGGCAACUGGAAUUCUCGGUGUAGCGGUGAAAUGCGUAGAUAUCGAGAGGAACACCUGCGGCGAAGGCGGCCUGCUGGGCAGUUGCUGACGCUGAGGCGCGACAGCGUGGGGAGCAAACAGG